Molecule: long non-coding RNA, 1803 nt
Filed under: Triticum aestivum (bread wheat)
Lineage: Eukaryota; Viridiplantae; Streptophyta; Magnoliopsida; Poales; Poaceae
Description: long non-coding RNA (TAES_LNC011730)
Source: RNAcentral
UCGGAUGUGGUGUUUCGUCAAUAUGCAACUCGUUGCAUAUUGAGCUCCACUUAACUUGUAGUAUUGUGUGUUGCACUUUGCCAUGCCAUGCCUCAUUAAACCGGACAUGCAUCAUACUUGAUUGUGCAUCAUGCCAUAUUUAUGCUUGUGUGUUUACCAUGUUGUUUGUUUCUUUCCGGUGUUGCUUCUUAGUCCCGGUAAUGUUGCGAUUGUGAGGAUUCGUUCGACUACGUCCGUUUGUCUUCUUCAUGGACUCGUUCUUCUUCCUAGCGGGAUUUCAGGCAAGAUGACCGCUACCCUGGAUCUCACUACUAUCAUUGCUAUGCUAGUUGCUUCGUUCUAUCGCUAUGUUGCGCUACCUAUCAUUUUGUUCUAUCAAGCCUCCCAAAUUGCCAUGAACCUCUAACCUUUGACAUCAUUCCUAGCAAACCGUUGCUUGGCUAUGUUACCGCUUUGCUCAGCCCUCUUAUAGCGUUGCUAGUUGCAGGUGAAGUUGAAGAUUGCUCCAUGGUGGACAGGGUUGUGUUGGGAUAUCACAAUAUCUCUUAUAUUAUUAAUGCAUCUAUAUAUUUGUUAAAGGGUGGAAGGCUCGUCCUUAUGCCUGGUGUUUUGUUCCACUCUUACCGCCCUAGUUUCCGUCAUACCGGUGUUAUGUUCCCGGAUUUUGCGUUCCUAACGCGGUCGGGUGAUUUAUGGGACCCCCUUGACAGUUUGCUUUGAAUAAAACUUGUCCAGCAAGGCCCAACCUUGGUUUUACCAUUUGCCUCACCACCACCUAUACCCUUCCCUUGGGUCGGCCAACCCGAGGGUCAUCUUUAUUUUAGCCCCCCCGGGCCAGUGCUUGUCUAAGUGCUGGUCCGAACCGAGUAGACUACGGGGCCCCCUCAGGGCAACUCGAGGUCUGGUUUUACUCAUAGGAUGUCUCAUCCGGUGUUGCCCUGAGAACGAGAUAUGUGCAGCUCCUAUCGGGAUUGUCGGCGCAUCGGGCGGCUUUGCUGGUCUUGUUUUACCAUUGUCGAAAUGUCUUGUAAACCGGGAUUUCGAGACUAAUCGGGUCUUCCUGGGAGAAGGUCUAUUCCUUCGUUGAUCGCGAGAGCUUGUCAUGGGCUAAGUUGGGACACCCCUGCAGGGUAUAAACUUUCGAGAGCCGUGCCACGGUUAUGUGGCAGAUGGGAAUUUGUUAAUGUCCGGUUGUAGAUAACUUGACACCAGAUCCGAAUUAAAAUGCAUCAACCGCGUGUGUAGCCAUGAUGGUCUCUUCUCGGCGGAGUCCGGGAAGUGAACACGGUUUCUGGGUUAUGUUUGACAUAAGUAGGGGUUCAGGAUCACCUCUUGAUCAUUGCUAGCUUCACGACCAUUCCUUUGUUUCUCUUCUCGCUCUCAUUUGCGUAUGUUUGCCAUCAUAUAUGCUUAGCCGCUGCUGCAACCUCACCACUUUACCCCUUCCUUACCCAUUAAGCUUUGCUAGUCUUGAUACCCAUGGUAAUGGGAUUGCUGAGUCCUCGUGGCUCACAGUUACUUCCAAAACCAGUUUGCAGGUGCCGAUGUUACCGAGCAGGUGACACCACCAAGCUCAAGGAGGAGCUCGAUGAAGAUCUUGCCCUUUGUGUUGUUUCGUUCUAGUUGAUCAGUAGUGGAGCCCAGUUGGGGUCGAUCGGGGACCUUUGUCGCAUUUGGGGUUCUUCUUUUAUUUCGGUUCCGUAGUCGGGCCUUGAUUGUAUCUGUAUGAUGUAAUGCUUUACUCAUGUAUUGUGUGAAGUGGCGAUUGUAAGCCAACUAUGUAUCUCUUUCCCUUAUGUAUUA